CCCUUAGAUGUUCUGGGCUGCACGCGCGCUACACUGAAGCGUUCAACGAGUAUUUCACCUUGCCCGGGAGGGUUGGGUAAUCUUUUUAAAACGCUUCGUGAUGGGGAUAGAUUAUUGCAAUUAUUAAUCUUCAACGAGGAAUUCCUAGUAAGCGCGAGUCAUCAGCUCGUGCUGAUUACGUCCCUGCCCUUUGUACACACCGCCCGUCGUUCCUACCGAUUGAGUGAUCCGGUGAAUAAUUCGGACUGCAGCAGUGCUUGGUCCUCCGGGCUUUGCAGCGGAAAGUUUAGUGAACCUUAUCACUUAGAGGAAGGAGAAGUCGUAACA
This 327-nucleotide ribosomal RNA is filed under the name uncultured eukaryote. Its description in RNAcentral is "partial 18S ribosomal RNA". It matches the Rfam family "Eukaryotic small subunit ribosomal RNA", at positions 1470 to 1796 of the family's 1831-position model. The record is from RNAcentral.